RNAcentral lists this ribosomal RNA (460 nucleotides) under uncultured bacterium. Its description in RNAcentral is "partial 16S ribosomal RNA". It matches the Rfam family "Bacterial small subunit ribosomal RNA", at positions 338 to 795 of the family's 1533-position model. The record is from RNAcentral.
CCUACGGGCGGCAGCAGUGAGGAAUAUUGGUCAAUGGACGAGAGUCUGAACCAGCCAAGUAGCGUGAAGGAUGACUGCCCUAUGGGUUGUAAACUUCUUUUAUAUGGGAAUAAAAUGUUCCACGUGUGGGAUUUUGUAUGUACCAUAUGAAUAAGGAUCGGCUAACUCCGUGCCAGCAGCCGCGGUAAUACGGAGGAUCCGAGCGUUAUCCGGAUUUAUUGGGUUUAAAGGGAGCGUAGGUGGAUUGUUAAGUCAGUUGUGAAAGUUUGCGGCUCAACCGUAAAAUUGCAGUUGAAACUGGCAGUCUUGAGUACAGUAGAGGUGGGCGGAAUUCGUGGUGUAGCGGUGAAAUGCUUAGAUAUCACGAAGAACUCCGAUUGCGAAGGCAGUUCACUGGACUGCAACUGACACUGAGGCGCGAAAGUGUGGGUAUCAAACAGGAUUAGAUACCCUUGUAGUC